CUCAGAAGAGAGCUGCACAAAGCCACGCAGAUUAACUCUUCACAGAGUGAAAUGAGAUGUGUGAAACAAAGGGCAUUAGCUCCCUGGUUAGGCCAGGAUCCAAGGACCAUGAAUGAUGGACAACGCCUUCAUUGACUCAGCCCAAUUCUUGUGGAUCUGCCCUGUUUUACAAGUUCUGGACGUUCCCACUGGAAACAGGAUGAAACUCAUACAUCAGAUGCCUUCAGCUCACCAGACUCUGUUUAACGGCUGGAGGGGGGUGCAUAAGCAGAGAUUUUGCAUCAUGCAA
Corvus hawaiiensis (hawaiian crow) is the source of this 289-nucleotide long non-coding RNA. RefSeq lists it as uncharacterized. The transcript has 3 exons. The record is from RefSeq and is a predicted model, not a curated record. Lineage: Eukaryota; Metazoa; Chordata; Aves; Passeriformes; Corvidae.